RNAcentral lists this ribosomal RNA (495 nucleotides) under uncultured bacterium. RNAcentral describes it as "partial 16S ribosomal RNA". It matches the Rfam family "Bacterial small subunit ribosomal RNA", at positions 29 to 507 of the family's 1533-position model. The record is from RNAcentral.
AUGAACGCUGGCGGCGUGCCUAAUACAUGCAAGUCGAGCGAACAGACGAGGAGCUUGCUCCUCUGACGUUAGCGGCGGACGGGUGAGUAACACGUGGAUAACCUACCUAUAAGACUGGGAUAACUUCGGGAAACCGGAGCUAAUACCGGAUAAUAUAUUGAACCGCAUGGUUCAAUAGUGAAAGACGGUUUUGCUGUCACUUAUAGAUGGAUCCGCGCCGCAUUAGCUAGUUGGUAAGGUAACGGCUUACCAAGGCAACGAUGCGUAGCCGACCUGAGAGGGUGAUCGGCCAACUGGAACUGAGACACGGUCCAGACUCCUACGGGAGGCAGCAGUAGGGAAUCUUCCGCAAUGGGCGAAAGCCUGACGGAGCAACGCCGCGUGAGUGAUGAAGGUCUUCGGAUCGUAAAACUCUGUUAUUAGGGAAGAACAAAUGUGUAAGUAACUAUGCACGUCUUGACGGUACCUAAUCAGAAAGCCACGGCUAACUACGUG